Molecule: ribosomal RNA, 253 nt
Filed under: uncultured bacterium
Lineage: Bacteria
Description: partial 16S ribosomal RNA
Rfam family: Bacterial small subunit ribosomal RNA
Source: RNAcentral
UACAGAGGUGGCGAACGUUGUUCGGAUUUACUGGGCGUAAAGGGUCCGCAGGCGGCCCAGUGUGUCGGAUGUGAAAGCCCACGGCUUAACCGUGGAAUUGCAUUCGAAACUGCUGGGCUAGAGUACUGGAGGGGAGAAGGGAACACUUGGUGUAGCGGUGAAAUGCGUAGAUAUCAAGUGGAACACCGGUGGCGAAGGCGCUUCUCUGGACAGAUACUGACGCUCAUGGACGAAAGUUAGGGUAGCGAAAGGG